GUGUGGUUCAUGACUGGGGUGAAGUCGUAACAAGGUAGCCGUAGGGGAACCUGCGGCUGGAUCACCUCCUUA
RNAcentral lists this ribosomal RNA (72 nucleotides) under Legionella pneumophila serogroup 1. Its description in RNAcentral is "partial 16S ribosomal RNA". It matches the Rfam family "Bacterial small subunit ribosomal RNA", at positions 1462 to 1533 of the family's 1533-position model. The record is from RNAcentral. Lineage: Bacteria; Pseudomonadati; Pseudomonadota; Gammaproteobacteria; Legionellales; Legionellaceae. RNAcentral also lists the same sequence under 2 other names.